Molecule: long non-coding RNA, 369 nt
Organism: Impatiens glandulifera
Lineage: Eukaryota; Viridiplantae; Streptophyta; Magnoliopsida; Ericales; Balsaminaceae
Exons: 3
Source: RefSeq, a predicted model, not a curated record
CUCUCUAGAUCUCUUGAAUUAAAUCUUCAAAUUGUAGAAAUGCUUGAUAGGAAAUCAUCUAUCGAGAGCGAGCCAAGAACAUUGGACUUUCAUCAAUUAAGUCAUGCAAGGGAAGAAGCAUUAUAUGUUUUGAGGACAAGGAACGUAGAGGAUGCUUUGCGAUUUUUUAUGGAGGGAUUGGAGGAUGUGAAAGUAAAAGAUCAGGAGAGUGUGAAGAAUGAAUCAACAUCCGGCAGGAGGUAAAGAAUGAUUGGUUGCACGACCAUGAAAAGUUCGUCGGUAGGCGGUUAAGUUUAGCGACUGGAAGGGAUAUAUUAUAGGCGCCCUUUUAAAUAGGGAAUAAUCGAUGAGUGAUUGAAUUUCUUGAAA